GAUUUCUGGUUGACCUUCCUGGCCCGCAGCCCUCGGGUUGUGAGUGCUGGUAAGAGUCUGCCAUCCUUGUAGAGAGCCAUGCCUGCUGUUCACUCAGCUGGGUGUGUGCGAUCUACAUCUUUUACUUUGAAAAAAUUAGAGUGUUUCAAGCAGGCGUUUUGCUAUGAAUACAUUAGCAUGGAAUAAUGAGUUAGGACUUCGGUUCUAUUUUGUUGGUUUCUAGGACUGAAGUAAUGAUUGAUAGGGAUAGUUGGGGGUGCUAGUAUUCAGCGGCCAGAGGUGAAAUUCUUGGAUUCGCUGAAGACUAACUUAUGCGAAAGCAUU
RNAcentral lists this ribosomal RNA (324 nucleotides) under Euglyphida sp. RNAcentral describes it as "SSU rRNA". The stretch from base 108 to 324 matches the Rfam family "Eukaryotic small subunit ribosomal RNA", at positions 738 to 955 of the family's 1831-position model. The record is from RNAcentral. Lineage: Eukaryota; Cercozoa; Imbricatea; Euglyphida.